CAGUUAGGAGGAACAGACAGUUAAAGUCAGUUGAGGACUGUUGGUUUGAGAUAGAAGGCUGGAUGUCGGCUUGUGGAGUUAAGGUUUCUGAACAAUGUGGAUUUAGCAGGUGUGAAGCCAGAACCUGUUUGGGGAAUAAGCACAACAGACCUCAGGUGGGAGGCUGUCUAGUAAUUCAGAAAUAAGCAAGGUGCCUGAACCACAGUCAGGAGGCUUUUCACACAGCAGGCUUCACCGCAGGUUUACUGCGAGGCUUUACUGCAAGUUCGGGAUAUAAGGCAUACUGCACCACAAAAAGAGGAUAUUUUAAAAACCCCAGACAUAAAUCAGGCUACGUUCCAAGACAGAGGGGGAAACCCGAAUCUUGUGUGAAGUGCUCUCUGAAAUACCGCACAGACUUGGGGGUAAAUCUGGCUGAUAUGUGAACGCACACUCACCCUCCCAAAAGUAAAGUUGCUGUAAGGUUGCUCUCUGAAAAAGCUCCUGGAGAAGAGAAUCUUUCAGCAUCUUUGUAAUCUGUGUCAACUUUGGGUAACUGCUACACUUUUGUACCUUUUGAAUUUGAGACCAUUCUGCUUCAGUACUACUUGUACUUGUAACCACCACACUAAUUGGACCAUCUAGUGAACAAUACAAACCUGUUAUCUGUUUUAACAUCUUUGGUUGUUUCCUCUUCCACUCCAUUAAAAGAGAGGCCGUUCUCCAUGCUCCUAUAGAACAAAGGGGCGGGGUAUGUGUGUGUGUGUGAGAAGGGACUUAAAUCCCGUCAUAUAGAUCUGAGUGGCCGGAGCAAAAAGGCACCCUGGAGUAGGGUGGACCCUCACAAUAACAAAGGAAGAACGAAAGGGCCAGCUCUUCUUGCAAUUCAUCUUUCAGAAGCUCACAUUCUCUUAGUGGCAACCCAGUUACAACAGGAAGGGUCUGAAGAAACAGCUGAACCACCAAGUCCUCCAGAGUUUGGGAAUAUCUAGAAUACAGCUUCUAAUACAAAUAAUUUGAGAGACAGCUUGUGGUAAUACAUACACAGUCCUUCUCCUUC
This is a long non-coding RNA of Hemicordylus capensis (graceful crag lizard), 1039 nucleotides long. RefSeq lists it as uncharacterized. The transcript has 2 exons. Lineage: Eukaryota; Metazoa; Chordata; Lepidosauria; Squamata; Cordylidae. The record is from RefSeq and is a predicted model, not a curated record.